This 520-nucleotide small RNA is filed under the name uncultured Glomus. Its description in RNAcentral is "SSU rRNA". It matches the Rfam family "Eukaryotic small subunit ribosomal RNA", at positions 569 to 1091 of the family's 1831-position model. Lineage: Eukaryota; Fungi; Glomeromycota; Glomeromycetes; Glomerales; Glomeraceae. The record is from RNAcentral.
AGCAGCCGCGGUAAUUCCAGCUCCAAUAGCGUAUAUUAAAGUUGCUGCAGUUAAAAAGCUCGUAGUUGAAUUUCGGGACCAAUAUGUCGGUCGUGCUUCGGUACGUACUGUCAUAAUUGGUUUCUCCCUUCUGAAGAACCUUGAUGUCAUUAAUUUGGUGUCUUGGGGAAUCAGGACUGUUACUUUGAAAAAAUUAGAGUGUUUAAAGCAGGCUCGCGCUUGAAUACAUUAGCAUGGAAUAAUGAAAUAGGACGUUUGAUUCUAUUUUGUUGGUUUCUAGGAUCGACGUAAUGAUUAAUAGGGAUAGUUGGGGGCAUUAGUAUUCAAUUGUCAGAGGUGAAAUUCUUGGAUUUUAUUGAAGACUAACUACUGCGAAAGCAUUUGCCAAGGAUGUUUUCAUUAAUCAAGAACGAAAGUUAGGGGAUCGAAGACGAUCAGAUACCGUCGUAGUCUUAACCAUAAACUAUGCCGACUAGGGAUCGGAUGAUGUUAAUUUUUAAUGACUCAUUCGGCGCCUUAA